RNAcentral lists this transfer RNA (82 nucleotides) under Ascodesmis nigricans. It matches the Rfam family "tRNA". From Rfam's summary of the family: Transfer RNA (tRNA) molecules are approximately 80 nucleotides in length. Their secondary structure includes four short double-helical elements and three loops (D, anti-codon, and T loops). Lineage: Eukaryota; Fungi; Ascomycota; Pezizomycetes; Pezizales; Ascodesmidaceae. The record is from Rfam by way of RNAcentral.
UCUUCGGUAGUAUAGUGGUUAGUAUUCCCGCCUGUCAUUGAUAGAUUCGCGGGCGACCGGGGUUCAAUUCCCCGCCGAAGAG